Molecule: ribosomal RNA, 330 nt
Filed under: Triticum aestivum (bread wheat)
Lineage: Eukaryota; Viridiplantae; Streptophyta; Magnoliopsida; Poales; Poaceae
Description: partial small subunit ribosomal RNA
Source: RNAcentral
AUGGCUUCCUCUCUUGGAGGUCAGAGGCUCAAAGGCUUCGCACAACGACCUGCUACUAGUACUCGUGGUGGCAUCCUGCUUUUGUGGGACGAAGACCUCGUCGAGGUUAAGGACAUUAACACUGGAACUUUCUUCCUCUCUGCUACAAUCACCAUUAUCCGUAUCGACACUUCCUUCAAGUUCACAACCGUCUAUGGACCAACUCACAGCAACCUCAAAGACAUUUUCUUCCAAGAGUUGAUCUCUAAGAAGCCUACUCCUGGUACUAGAUGGCUGCUAGCCGGUGACUUUAAUCAGAUUUAUCGCACAAAGAGACAAGAACCACGGUAA